GACGUAGGGGGCGAGCGUUGUCCGGAUUUAUUGGGCGUAAAGAGCGCGUAGGCGGCCCGGAAAGUCGGAUGUGAAAACCCGGGGCUCAACCCCGGGCCUGCAUCCGAUACUCCCGGGCUGGAGGCAGGUAGGGGAGAUCGGAAUUCCUGGUGUAGCGGUGAAAUGCGCAGAUAUCAGGAAGAACACCCGUGGCUAAGGCGGCUCUCUAGUACGGUACUGACGCUGAGACGCGAAAGCGUGGGGAGCGAACAGG
Molecule: ribosomal RNA, 253 nt
Filed under: uncultured bacterium
Lineage: Bacteria
Description: partial 16S ribosomal RNA
Rfam family: Bacterial small subunit ribosomal RNA
Source: RNAcentral